Molecule: long non-coding RNA, 784 nt
Filed under: Homo sapiens (human)
Lineage: Eukaryota; Metazoa; Chordata; Mammalia; Primates; Hominidae
Description: HSALNT0352534
Source: RNAcentral
CAAAAUCCCAGUGAUGACCUCAAGGUGGCUGUCAACAACUCGUCAAUUGUUGAGAUGACAGCAACCUGCCCUUCAAGUGGACCACAGCUUGAAAUAGGCACCAGAACAAGACAGCAGACCUUGUGCAAUGCACUCUCCCACGGGCCUCCCAUUCCAAUUUCCCCUUUUUAAGCCUUUCUCCCCAGCCUAAAGUUUUAAGAGGUUUCUGGAGGCGUAAGGAUUCUAUUUAUGUUUAAUGAACAAAAAAAUUAGUUUCAAUGAAAACUUUAUUUGAAAUGAUGAAUUCAAGCUAUUACCAGCCUCCCAAGUAAGAUGCCAGAGACUUCAAACACUGCUGUUGUUUCUCAAGGAAAAGAUCCAGUUAACAAGGAAUCAUUCUCUCUUCUUCAAUAGCUGCUUACGAAAUAAAAACAUCAGUAGGAGGGGAAGGAGGAAGGAAGGAGAAGAAAGAGGAAGAAUAGGAGGAGAAGAGGAAGAGAGGAAGAAGUGAACAGCCCUCCUGCAUUUUGCAUCAGGUAGAAAAGUCAGUUGAAUGUUGGGAAGAACACAAAUAAUCACAAGACCCUGGUUCCAGAGCGGUCCUGCUUUACACCGAAGGAAAGGAAUGUCAUACAGAAAGGCCAAGAAGAAUCUGAAGAGAUGUCCAAUCACCUUUUCACGUGGCUGCCCAUUCUUCAUUGAACCUAAGCAUUAAAAUAGACAGUUUCCCCUGGGUCUUUGGGUCUUCAUUUCUGAAGACUCCAUGUCAUGUAAAACUUUGAUUAAAUAAAUGUAUCAUGCAUUA